GGCGCCUUGUGCGCACCGGCGGACGGCUCAGUAACACGUCGGUAACCUACCCUCGGGAGGGGGAUAACCCCGGGAAACUGGGGCUAAUCCCCCAUAGGCCUGAGGUACUGGAAGGUCCUCAGGCCGAAAGGGGCUCUGCCCGCCCGAGGAUGGGCCGGCGGCCGAUUAGGUAGUUGGUGGGGUAACGGCCCACCAAGCCGAAGAUCGGUACGGGCCAUGAGAGUGGGAGCCCGGAGAUGGACACUGAGACACGGGUCCAGGCCCUACGGGGCGCAGCAGGCGCGAAACCUCCGCAAUGCGGGCAACCGCGACGGGGGGACCCCCAGUGCCGUGGCAUCGCCACGGCUUUUCCGGAGUGUAAAGAGCUCCGGGAAUAAGGGCUGGGCAAGGCCGGUGGCAGCCGCCGCGGUAAUACCGGCGGCCCGAGUGGUGGCCGCUAUUAUUGGGCCUAAAGCGUCC
Molecule: ribosomal RNA, 459 nt
Filed under: Thermococcus sp. ES10
Lineage: Archaea; Methanobacteriati; Methanobacteriota; Thermococci; Thermococcales; Thermococcaceae
Also listed under: 1 other name
Description: bacterial SSU rRNA
Rfam family: Archaeal small subunit ribosomal RNA
Source: RNAcentral